UCAGAGCAGACCAACUUUUAAAUAUGAAGAUACAUACCGGCAUUAUAUUGGUAUUAACGUUGUUAUGUGCAAACUCCGUGCGGUCUGACGUGGAUGUUGCAAGUACACUUGCUGAUCUCGCGGCUAGAAUAGUACAGCUUGAGGCAAUAACUGUACAGCUUGGGGCCAAAACUGUAAAACUGGAGGCCCGAAAUGAACAGCUCGAGACAAAAAUUGGCGAGCUUCAAAACUAACGAAAUGCAGACAACGAAAUACGGAAGGGUGCACGUAAACAUGAAUACAACCAGCUGAAAGAUUUAAAACUUGAAUUACGAAAGCAUGAACGGGUUCACUUUCAUAACGGGACAGAUGCUACGCAGCAAAUUCCAAUGAGUUUCAUAAAGUCACCGCACACAAGAGAGCCUGGGACUGUCCCUACUGCCUUUACUGCGUGUCUCACAACGCCCACUCUUGAAAACGUGGGAGACCAUCAAACCGUACAUUUCGAUAGUGAUCACCAACGUCGGUAACGCAUAGUCAGUACUCCGGAAUAUUUAGAGCGCCGGUGAAUGGAGUGUACGCGUUCCACGUAAGCCUUAUGACGGAAGCAAACAAUGUUGCAUACUUUGAACUCGUGAUAGACGGUAAAAUUGUUGACGACGUGUUCGUAGACGCCUCCCACACAGCCGAACUAAGGACAUCCGCGGAGUUUUGGCUUCUUCAUCUGAAUGCUGGCUCAGAAGUGUGGAUACAGACAUUGGCUGGAAACUGUAUCCACGGGCGAUGCCACACGAUGUUUUCCGGAUAUUCGUGUUCGAAACAUAACGCAACAUUGAUUGUUAUUUCUUGUUUGAAAGUUUACAAUUUAAACUGGGCUUUUGAAAACAAA
Dreissena polymorpha is the source of this 868-nucleotide long non-coding RNA. RefSeq lists it as uncharacterized. The transcript is spliced from 2 exons. NCBI's taxonomy places the organism in Eukaryota, Metazoa, Mollusca, Bivalvia, Myida, Dreissenidae. The record is from RefSeq and is a predicted model, not a curated record.